This is a long non-coding RNA of Nicotiana attenuata, 3087 nucleotides long. RefSeq lists it as uncharacterized. The transcript is spliced from 3 exons. The record is from RefSeq and is a predicted model, not a curated record. Lineage: Eukaryota; Viridiplantae; Streptophyta; Magnoliopsida; Solanales; Solanaceae.
UUUCUCUUUUUCCUUCAUCUUUCUGUAUUCUGUUGGAUUUCAGUUGUUUCGCCUUUAUAAUUUUGAGAGCUAUUUUCAUUUGUAAUUACUUCAUAAAUCUUUGCAUUUUUCGAUGUGCUUUUUGUUGAUCACUUCACUCUGCUCUGUCAUUUCUGCUCGAUUUUUGUUUGGAAUAUUUAAUUUUCUCUUGGAGUUCUCUUGUGACUUUUCAGGUUCAUCUUUUUUUAAUACAUUUCAGGUUCUUCACUACUAAGGAGCAGGAAAAUGAAGAAAUUCUAAGGAAAAGGUACUAUAUGACAUCAUGGCAAACCCAUCCUCAUAUGCCGACUAGCUUUAUAAAUCUCUCUGGAAGGCUUUAGUUGUUGCUAUAGUAGAUGAGCAUGAAGUUACAUUGCCACGAUAUCAUAAGCGGAAUGACUUUGUAUCAACAUGGAUAACCUAUAGUCAUGAUGUUUAUCUCUUGGUUAACCAUUUCAUAUGGUAUAAUGCAGUUUCACACGGUAUUCCCUAGAUGAGGGUAGAAAUUAUUUGGGAUGCACUAGCCUGUUUAAAGAAUUUUCAAUUGUAACAUCUUCGCAGGCAUAUAUUUCCUCUUAGGUAAGGAGUCUCUCAUUUGAGCGUAAGAGUUGAAAAUGAUAUAGUUCCUUGACAUGACGAUACAACUCUUUUUAUUUGUUUCCUUUAUAAUUUUUUUCCUUUAUAAUUUCAGGUUUAAUUUUUUUUUUUUUUUUAUCACAUGCAAGAGUUAAUAAGAAGUUUAAACUAAAAAGUUUUUAUGUUGACAAUAGACACUUGAAUUCUUAGGUAAACAUGGUUUAUCUUGUACUCAAUUUUUUAAAAACAAUGCAGUGAUAAACGAAAUAGCUCUACCAAGCGAAAAAAGCUAUAGUUAAUUUAUCUGAUUCACUCACUUGAUUAGAUGAAUUGUUAUUACCACUUUGGAACCAAAAGAAUAAAUAUUGAAGAAGCACUAAGGUUUUUCUUUUUUAUGCUUCGUAUCCUGAACACAAUAUAGAGAAAAAGUUUCUUUAGCUUUACCAGUAAGUUUAACGUUUAUGUAUUACUCCGAAUUUUCUUAGAUGAGACUGAAGUAAAAGGAUAAAUGCGUCAAUCCAGGAAGAAACAUUUGGAUACCUGUUGUUUGUUUUGUGAAAGGUUACACAUUUGGAGUACAUACAUGGAGGUUAGGUCUUAUGGAACUUCACUUGUCAGAAGAGUGUAAGAGCUUGUGUAGACUUUUAGCAUACAGUCAAAAUGAAUGAAUCUAUUUUUCAAAUUUUCUGUCUUGUAACAAUGUAAGAAGUUUGAAAUUUAAACCUGAAAAAUGUAAAAUCUGAAGUGAAGACUAAUUUGCACUUUGAAUCAAUUGAGAUUUGAUUGAGAUUCCAAAGAGUUUCAUCUUCAUCUAAAUGAGUUGUUUCUUGAGCAUAGAAAUCACUGUAAUAAAGCUAGAAUACUGGAUACGUGCACGACAAAAAUUUUUACUAGAGUGAGAUUCUAGGUGCCUUAGGCUAGAGUCAUCUAUCUCUACACAUAAAUUGCUCAGUCAAAGAAACGAAAAACAAAAGCUAACUACCAGUACUAAUUACUUAUUCCGAGUCAUCCUUUCUCCUAUAAGUUCAUUAAAUCUGUUUUUGUCUCUUAUAAAUGUGCUUUAUGCUGCUCAAGUCUGACUUAUACUAGCACUUAUUUUUCCUGCAUAUUUUUAUCUUAGUUGUCUUCACUUUUACAUUGCUGUAAAAUCUUUAAAUUGGAGAUUCAAAUAGGUCAUAUAAUGUGAACUUUAAAACUAAAUCUCUAUUUUAAUAUUAUGUAUAACUUGCAAUUCACUCCAAUGAUGAAAUAAAGCCCGGACUUAAUUGACUUAAUAUAGCUGAACUACUUCCAUUUUAUGCUUAUCUUUGGCUUAAAAAUGUGCAACUUUCAUGUAGCUUUUCAUCUGUUAGUAUGUUCCAUUAGACAAAUCUGCAUUCAGACCAAGGAAGACCAGCAAGUGAGACAAAAUGACUUCUCCACUCAGGUAGGAUGGUGUAAACUAUUUCGCUGAAAUUUGUAUUAAUAGAAGUUGUACUAAAGUAUUGCUCAAGUCAGUAUUUUAUAUAAAUCAUCUAAAAACUUCAAAAGUUGUGUGGUACUCGCGUUCUGUGUGUCUUAUGAAAUCGUGUGGCUAUUUGUUGUCAAACAUGUGAGAGCUUAAAGAAAGACACUGGAGUGUCGGUUGGUUGUGUGGUGGAACAAGAGGAUGCUAGCACUUUAUGCACUCUCCCGCAAGAAAUGUAUUUCAUUAGAUUCACCUAUCCAAAAAUUUAAAAGCAUGUGCCAGAGCUGAUCUACUUCAUUUGCACAAAGCACUCCCAUAAUGAAUGUUAAGAAAAUUGAUAUUAAUUAUUUUUUCUAUGUUCUGAUUUAGAAAGUGAACAAUGAGGUGAUCUUGUAACAAGCUUAAAGGAAUUCUCUAACAAUUUAGAGAUGAACUCUUUUACUAGAUUAACCCACUUUUUUUGCAGCUUUGUAAUCCUUGUGUUAGUAUGCACCAUGAUAUUAUUGACAAGUCAUUGCAGUGAUGAUAAAAGUAUAUUUCAAAGAGUUAAAUUCUUGAUUAUACUUUAUGCUUGUUGCUAUUUUUGAAUGCCUUAAUUGAAUGCUUGCUUGAUUGAUAUAUGUGAUCCUCAGGUUGAGGAAGAUGGAACAAAUUUAAGAUUCAUGUGAGCUACUGCAUAUUUUCUCAUAGGAUAUUGGACGAUUUUCUUAUGUUAUAUAAUUUUCUGCCAACAUGAUUAUGCAAUGACACCUCAUUCUUUUAAGAAAUGCCUUGUCCACUUCAAAAAAGGUGUGACACCAUGUUUCCUCAAGAUUUAAUGUUUCUGUCUUUUUCCUUUUUUCAGCAGAUGAUGUAACAACGACGAAGGUGUUUAUGAGACAAGGGGUGCAUCUUUUUGUCUUUUUCUCAUGGGAGCAAGCUAGAGAAAGUACUUAAUUCAACAUUACAUAUUUCAGAUCUUGUACAAUUUUGUUCCUCAAAUGAAUGUGCAUAUAUAAUGAAACGUUGUUAUGUUAGUUAAAACAUGUAUGAAAUUAUCUUCUCAA